This 3652-nucleotide long non-coding RNA is filed under the name Lupinus angustifolius (narrow-leaved blue lupine). RNAcentral describes it as "long non-coding RNA (LANG_LNC000216)". The record is from RNAcentral. Lineage: Eukaryota; Viridiplantae; Streptophyta; Magnoliopsida; Fabales; Fabaceae.
GGUAUGAUGCUAAUAUUGCAGGACAAUGGUCACAAGGUUUUUGGGUACAAUCAGGGCUUUCAGGUGCUAUAUAUGAUUAUGCUUCUAAAGAUAUGACUCAUUAUAACCUUGCCACAGUGUUCCCAGGCCUACAAUCUCCAAACCACUACCUUAGAAUUCAGGUAUUAUAUUUCCUACUCCACUUCCCGAAAAAACGGAUACCCUUAAUAGUACUCAAAAAAAUUAUUAAAUUAAAAGUAUUAGAAAAUACUAGAAAAUACGAAUAGUUAUAGAAGAAAAUUGAUGUUGUGGAUAAUUGUUAUAUAGAAUUAUCAAAAUGUUAAUAUCUUAGUUGGAACUUUUGAUGUUUUAUAAAAUUAAAAUAAAUUAUUUUUUUCUAAAUCGAUUAUGUAUUUAAACAUUUUCCUCGCCUAAUUUAAUAAUCAUUAUUAAUUUUUCGAAAAAACUCUCCACUUUUCAAUGUAUCACUUAUUUUUUAGUAAUUUUUUCAAUACAUAUAUAUGUGGAAUUGGGAUGAAACUACUUUCUCCAUUUUUUUUUGAUGUAUUGUUUUCUCUCUUAGUAAUUGUUUUUAAGAUGACACUAUAAUCUUUGAAUCUUAAUGUGCAGGAUUAUAAUAUGGAUCCAUCAAUGGAUUCUCUUGACAAUGCUACACAAGUAAACAUGGAAAAUCUUGAAAGGGUAGGAAAGAAUUUGCUGAAUGAACAAGUUUUAAGGAUGAAUAUAACCACUUUUGUCCCUGAGAAGGACAAAAAUGACAUUACAAAUGCUAAGGCACUUGAGAGGUGAGUAUAUUAAGUAACUCACAUUUUGUGACUUCUAUCUUAAUAGUUAAUAGUUGAAGUGUUUAACCAUUUUCUAAACUUAGCCAAAAAAAUUAUUACUCUAGUUAUUUUCAGUAUAGUUAAAAUCUAUUUACUUUAACUUAUCACACUAAGGACUAAAUCUGACUCAAUCAUAUAAUUUUUUUGUACUGCCUAGAGUAUUCUCUCCCCUAUGGGUAAGGAACUAAUCAUUUUCGGAGUGUAUAUAUGGAUAUCUUUUCCAAUAAGUGUUACUUCCAAUAAUCGAACAUUUGACCUUUCUGGUCAUCUUGGGGAUUGAACGGGGCAUUACACCACUAGACAAAUUUCUUGUUCGUCAUUAUCUUUUGGACUAAAUUAUUUAAUACCUAGUUGGAAAAAAAAAAUUCAUAAAUCCCUAGAAUAUAAUAGUUUCUAACAAAGCAUGCAAAAAAUAAGAUUGUGAUUUAUGAAAUGCUGAUAAAAGAUGAACUUUAUAUUUAGUAUUGGAGUCUAGUUUCCAACAAAGCAUGCAAAAAAUUGAUUAUUAAUAUUUUAGAAUAUAUUUAAAUUAAUUUGAAAUGCUAGUUUUUUUUAUAUAUGUAUUUUUUUAUUGCAUGAAGAUUGGCAAAGACUCUGCAUAAAGAGAAGCAGCUACGUUUGGAAAAUAAAUUGAUGGAAAAAAGAGGAAGACCAUUUAUUGAAAAUGAUGCAAUCCCUUUGGGUAGAAGCUGGUCAAGUUAGGCAUAUAAUUGUGCUAGAAUAAAUGCUAUUUGCAUGGGUUUGCACUAUAUAUAUCAUGUGAUUUCUAUGUUUGAAGGAAAAUAAAUGUUCCACUAAAUAAAUCUUGGAUAGUGUAUCAAUGUCAAAUUAUUAUGAAAUUGAUUCCUUCUAUUUUAUGGCUUUUUUUAUAUUGUUCCCUUAUUUUUGGUUUGUGUUUUAAGAUUUGUUUUCUUGAUUGAGAGGUUAGUGAAAGACACUAAGUUAAUUACAUAAUAAAGUGCACAACAAGAAAAGAAAUAAAAACACCAUUAAUGAAUAUAUUUAUAUAUCGAUUUAUUAUGGUUGAAUUUUACUAUAUACAAUUGAUAAAGAAAUCUUCACUAAAUUCUUGAGUUCUUAUCAAGAUAUUUUUUUGAUAAGCAAAAGAUUAAAUUAAAAAGGUAGAAGGAGUAUCAACCCAAAUACAAGACACAAAUAAUUAAAAGUGAUUGUCACUGUAAUGUUGUUGAAUACAAAUUCAAGAGUCACAACACCAAAGAACAAAAAUAGAAGAGUUUAAACCAUUUUUAUAACUAAACCAAAUUCAAGAUCUAACUUCAUAUUGAGAUAUCGUUCAUAAAUUUACAAGAAAUGAACUCUGAUAAUUUUUUAAGCUAAAUAAAAUAUUUUUAUCCUACUAACAAUUUUUGUAAUUAUUCUAUGAAAAAAUUAUCAUGAAAGAUUGUCUCAGAACCAGUUUUAUUUCCUUGAUUGUUCGAUUUAGUUAGGAAAUCUUUGUGUGGCCGACAAUUUUAUUUUAAUUAAUUCAAAAAAUUAACUAAUAAGACAUUUGGUUUUUAAAGGUUAUAUUUUAAAUAAAAAUCUAUGAUAAAUAUGGUGGUUACAAAACUCUAUUAUAAAUAGUAGAGUAUGAACUAGAAAAAGGAUGUGCAUAAAAAUUCACUAAAGGAAGAAGAGAAAAGAAAGUGACACAGAAGAGAUAAGGAGAAAAUGUGCAAAUUUUUCAGAAAAAGGAAGAUAGACUAAAAAAGCAUAAUUGCCUUAAAUUCCAUGCUCGAUUAUUGGAUCAUUAUUGCCUUUUCCUAUCACAUAGGAUAAACUUUCCAAUCGGUCAAUAUUGCCUUCAAUUGCCACCACUUGAUAGAUUGUAUUGGAUUCCAUUGUUGAAUAAGAAUCGUGUAAAUGUAUAUUGAUCGAAUGAUUUGAUGAUUACAAAGUGAAGAAAAGAUGAUUAUAUAUAUACAUAAGUUGCUUACAACCCAAAUUAUAUCCUAAAUUUUUUGAAACCCACAACCAAGAUGUAACUUUAAAAGAAUCCAUAAUCUGAAUAAAACUAACUUUGCCCCCCCUAAAAAUAAUAUCAUUUUUUAACUUCCACAAUCGAUUUCUCUUUACCAAUCUUACAAAGGGAAUCAUGAGUCUUAAGCGAUUCCACAAUCAAAUCCGGCAAAGUAAUAUGAAUUUGAAGCUAAGAAUAGAAUUUGUAUGUGAUAAAAAUAAUAAUUUGUAUUUGUAGGCUAUGGCUGCUGUGAGUGAAGUGAUACAACAACUGAAAGAGGAGAAUCCUAGGUUUAAGAGACACACCAAGAUUCUGUUGCUGUCUAUAGGAUGUGGAAUUAAAAAAGCUGAAGGGUAUGAUGCUAAUAUUGCAGGACAAUGGUCACAAGGUUUUUGGGUACAAUCAGGGCUUUCAGGUGCUAUAUAUGAUUAUGCUUCUAAAGAUAUGACUCAUUAUAACCUUGCCACAGUGUUCCCAGGCCUACAAUCUCCAAACCACUACCUUAGAAUUCAGGUAUUAUAUUUCCUACUCCACUUCCCGAAAAAACGGAUACCCUUAAUAGUACUCAAAAAAAUUAUUAAAUUAAAAGUAUUAGAAAAUACUAGAAAAUACGAAUAGUUAUAGAAGAAAAUUGAUGUUGUGGAUAAUUGUUAUAUAGAAUUAUCAAAAUGUUAAUAUCUUAGUUGGAACUUUUGAUGUUUUAUAAAAUUAAAAUAAAUUAUUUUUUUCUAAAUCGAUUAUGUAUUUAAACAUUUUCCUCGCCUAAUUUAAUAAUCAUUAUUAAUUUUUCGAAAAAACUCUCCACUUUUCAAUGUAUCACUUAUUUUUUAGUAAUUUUUUCAAUACAUAUAUAUGUGGAAUUGGGAUG